Small nucleolar RNA from Sinocyclocheilus anshuiensis, 76 nucleotides. NCBI's taxonomy places the organism in Eukaryota, Metazoa, Chordata, Actinopteri, Cypriniformes, Cyprinidae. The record is from Ensembl.
CUCCAAUGAUGACCUCCAUUUUGUGCCACGUGUCUGGGCCACUGAUAUACUCUGAUGGGAUUGAGGAACUGAGGAG